AUGCCUGGGACGACGACAUCCCGCGCUCUCCUGCUCGCCAGCGUCGUCCUGACGGCGCACAUGUUCUUGUGCACGGCGUACGUCGGCGGCGAUGGGUUUAGCGUGGAGUUCAUCCACCGUGACUCCGUCAAGUCCCCGUAUCAUGACCCGUCGUUCACCGCGCACGCCCGCGUGCUCGAGGCCGCGCGCCGGUCCUCAACGCAGGCCGCUGCGCUCUCGCGGUCCUACGGCCGCGUCGACGCACCAUCAGCCGACGGCCCCGUCUCCGAGCUCACCUCCAGGCCCUUCGAGUACCUGAUGGCCGUGAACGUGGGCACCCCGCCCACCCGCAUGCUCGCCAUCGCCGACACCGGCAGCGACCUCAUCUGGCUUAAUUGCAGCAACGGAGAAGUGGCUCCUGGUCUGGCGGCCGCCCGGCACGCGCACGCGUCCGCUCCCGCUCCCGCGUCCGCGCCGCCGCCGGGCGUCCAGUUCAACUCCUCCAAUUCGACGACGUUCGGUCUCGUGAGCUGCAGCUCCGGCGCAUGCCGCGCGCUCCCCGAUGCCUCCUGCCCCGACUCCAAGUGCAGGUAUCUCUACUCCUACGGCGACGGCUCCCAGACGCGCGGCCUCCUCUCCACGGAGACCUUCACCUUCGCCGACGACCAAGGCACCCGCGGCGAUGGGAAGAUACGCGUGGCCAACGUCAACUUCGGCUGCUCCACGACCAUGAUGGGCUCGUUCAUCGGGGACGGCCUCGUCGGACUUGGCGGCGGCGAUCUCUCCCUCGUCAAUCAGUUAGGCGCAGACACAUCGCUCGGCCGGAGGUUCUCCUACUGCCUCGUGCCCUACUCCAUCAACGCCUCCUCCGUGGUCAACUUCGGCCCCCGCGCCACCGUGACGGAACCGGGCGCGGCGACGACGCCGCUGAUCCCAUCUGAAGUGAAGGCCUACUACACCGUCGAUCUCCAGUCCGUCAAGAUCGGGAACAAGACGCUCGCGGCGCCGCAGCAGUCCCCCGUCAUCGUCGACUCCGGCACGACGCUGACGUACCUCGCGAACGAGCUUGUGGACCCAUUGGUGGAAGAGCUGACCCGGAGGGUCAAGCUCCCGCCGGCGAAGUCGCCGGAAGAUCUCCUGCCACUGUGCUUCGACGUGAGCGGGGUACGGAAGGGGCAGGUGGCGGCGAUGAUCCCUGACGUGACGCUGGGGCUGGGCGGCGGCGCGACGGUCACGCUGAAGGCGGAGAACACGUUCGUGGAGUUGCAGGAGGGGACUCUGUGCUUGGCGGUGGCGGCGCCGUCUGACCAGUUUCAUCCUGUGUCCAUCAUCGGGAAUAUUGCGCAGCAGAACAUGCACGUCGGCUAUGACCUCGACAAGGGCACCGUGACCUUCGCCACAGCAGACUGCGCCAAGUCCUCCGGCUCUCUGUAUAUCUGA
This 1419-nucleotide ribosomal RNA is filed under the name Triticum aestivum (bread wheat). RNAcentral describes it as "partial small subunit ribosomal RNA". Lineage: Eukaryota; Viridiplantae; Streptophyta; Magnoliopsida; Poales; Poaceae. The record is from RNAcentral.